This 637-nucleotide long non-coding RNA is filed under the name Androctonus crassicauda. Lineage: Eukaryota; Metazoa; Arthropoda; Arachnida; Scorpiones; Buthidae. The record is from RNAcentral.
UAAUACUCGAUGGUGAGUCAGCCACUUCCUCCCCUAGAUAGAACCUGACAAACUUUUUGCACGGGACUGUACAUGAAAAUAAAAAUACCAAUAUGUGAAAGUUAAUUGUAAAAUGCAAAUAAGAUUAGAAAAUAAUAAACAAUAAUACUUAUAAACAUUUUAUAAAAAAAAUGAUAAACCCAAAUAAAACUAUAGUAAGUAAUAAUCAGCAAUAAAUCGGUCAACAGAUAUAAACAUAAAAAUUUGAUUCAUAAAAAUAGCAUAAAAGUGCAAAACUUAUAUAAAAAUAAUGUUAAAAUAUACUAAAAAACAAAAAAUAAUUGUUGAAUGAAAUAACAAUACAGGAAACCUUCAUAUAACAUGGUACUUCCACAAUACAGUUUUUAUUUAUCAUAUUUAGAAAAUUACUUUUAUUCUCCUAUAAUACAAAACAUUUUUAUAAAUCCACACUAUGGACACACAAAUAUACUCAAAAUACAAUUUUUGGUCAGAAGGGAGCUGCAAAAUUGCUUAUCCCCAUACCGUGAAAUUUACAGCAGUCUUGUAAGGACAAACAAACAAAGAUUACAGAUUUUGGAAAGAAACACAAGAUACACAAACUUCACUUUCUGAACUUUUUCUACAUUUAAAGUUGAAU